Vicia villosa (hairy vetch) is the source of this 2577-nucleotide long non-coding RNA. RefSeq lists it as uncharacterized. The transcript has 4 exons. The record is from RefSeq and is a predicted model, not a curated record. NCBI's taxonomy places the organism in Eukaryota, Viridiplantae, Streptophyta, Magnoliopsida, Fabales, Fabaceae.
AUCUCCUAAAACCAAAACCCUAUCUUCCACAUUAAAGGGACUGCUCAGCUCCAUCUGCUCCAUUUCCUUCCACCUCACACUCCGCCUCUCAUUCAUGGCUUGCUCAGCACCAUCUGCUUCUCUCCUAUCUCCAAACGCUAACACACUCCUCUCUCCCAACUUCUCUUCUCCGCGUCUCUCUUCUCUCUCCAUCCCCAACGUCUCCAAUUCUCUCCCCAAACUACGUACCUCCUUCCCUCUAUCCCUCAACCGCUCCUCCUCCUCUCACUGCAGUUUCGCCGUUAGGGCUUCUUGAAUCAGGCUAUUUUUUCUCGUCUGAGUUUCUAUGAUGGCGUGUCUCCAGUACUCAAUGUUGAUGGUAUUCUAAGUAGCAAAACUCCACCAAGGCUCUGGUUGAACUUCUAGUACGAAGAGUUUUAUAACCAACACGGUGUAAAGCUGGUUGAUAAAGUAAUAGAAAUGUUGAGACUUUAUACUAUAGACUUUGUUUCAUCUCCUGAGGUAGGUUUCUUAAGAAGCAUCAAUGGAAAAGUUAGGACGAAAACAAAGUUCGUUUUUCAAUUUCUUAACACGAGUGAUGUCGAACCAACAAUGAAUCAACCAUAUGACACCAUUGUGAAGGAUCUUGAAGCAAUCAAGUCAUAUGCAUCUGGUAUAAUGGUUCCAAAAGAAUACAUAUGGCCAGUAGUUAGACCUAUUACAUUCUGAAUUGAUCGUAUAGUCUUUAUGAUUUCUUAACAGAUAACCAGUAGAACAAGCCCCUUUCAAAUCUCACAUACAGGUACCAGACUACUCUAACUAAUAUACUAUCAAGUGUUUUAUGAUGACUUGGAUUGAUAAUAUAUACCAGAAGUUUGAGAAUAUGAUCCAGGAGGUUGAAGAUACAAUGUUGGAGGUGUGCAUUUGUUGCUAGUUAUACUUAUCCUAUCAUGUGCUUCUCUUAGAAAGUGUUGUCAAAUAGCAGCUAUCGCAACUAUGUAGCGAUGUUGAAAACCGAAAUUUGAAUUUGUGAUAUGUUCUUUAGUACAAAGUUUUGUCAAAUAGAUGCUAUAUUGACGUUUUUUUAUGAAUAGACAAAUGUUAGUAUAUUAGUUGUUAUGUUAGUAUUUUUUGUUCAUCAGGGUUUGAGUUUUUGAUAUCUCAUAUGUGUUAGAAUUCUUAUUACAACUUAUAAAUUUGCUUUUCGAUUACGUUAACAUUCUGUUAUAAUUGUUUUCUUUUGUUUUUUUGACAAUAGGAAUUUCAAUACCUAGAGAAUCAAAUGAGUAUUGCUGGAGAAAGUGUUAAGAAAUUAUAUUCAACUGCCAUGGAAGAUUUGCUUCCUCCGUCUACAACCUCGGCUCUUGUGUUGCCUAUGGGUCACUAUGCUGGUAUAUCAGAGAAGUCGAUUCAACGUACCAAGAAACUAAGCGGUACAUUAUGAAUGGUGAUUGAUGCCCUAUUAUAUUUUACUUGGGUAACAAUUGCAAUUUGAAUUUGGCUCGGCUGAAUCUCUGUUAGAGUUGUUCCUUUGCAAGUUGAAUUUAGUUCCAUGAUGUUGUAUAUUUUAUUGUUGAAUAGUAGCUUGUGCUAGUAUGUCAUGUUGGUUAUGGGUGAAUUAAUUAAUAUAAGAAAAACCAUAAUAGGAGAAAAGGGAUAGAAGCAAGAAAGACACUACUUUUUAUGAUAAAGAAAAAAACAUGUAGUAUAAGUUUGGAGUGUAGUGUAUAGUGAAUCAAAAAACAAUGGCUUAAACAAUAAUAAUUGUCUAAAUGUCUAUUCAUGACUUAGUUAUUUCCUUUAGUAAUUAUUAUAUGGUCAAAUAAAUAUAGUUUGAAAAAUGCUAGUUUAAUUGCAUGCUAGCAUAGGUGAUGAUAAUAAUUGAGAUAUGUUUUUUCGUUUAAAGAGAUGAGAAAGUCAUAUAUGUUGUAGUGUAAAUAUUUAAAUUGUCUAAAAUCUAGUUUAGUUUAGUAUAAUAAACAUUACAAUUAGUUUAGCUUAAUAUAACACAUGUUUUGGUGCUGUGUACAUGUGUUAUAUUUCUAAAAUGGUGAAGAUUCUAAGAGAGUAAAUUGCAAGAUAGAUAUAAAACAAGUGUAUGUGUUUCUCAAUCUGUUAGAUUACACACAUAAACACAACAUUUUGUUAAUGGAAUUGCCUUUUUCUUAGCAGAUACAAUUGUUGGGCACUGUCAUGGAGAAAUAUAGAGGAAUUGCAAAAUUAAUGAUGGAUCAACUGGACCUCACAAACCAAGAGGAUUACAAAAGUAAAUCUAGGCAUACUAGGUUGUUUUAAGAUUUGUUAUGGAAAGUGGUGCCAAGGGAUGUGAGGAUAGUUCUACCAAACAGCUUGAAUCCAAAAAUGGGAAAUCCUCGUCGAGAUGAAAAACCAGCUCCAUAUGCACGUGAAGCAAAGGAAUUCUUGAGAACGCGCAUGCUCCUGUUGCUUCUACUAGUCACCAAACUAGGUUGAAUGUCGGCGAAUUGAUAAUUGAUAAUUAAGUGUGGUUAUAAAAAUUAAUGAUGCACUCUACAAGGCUUCAUGUUUGUAAAUAUUUUUAUGAGGAUAUCAAUUUCGUUUUGAUGUAUAUCUGCUCAA